This 77-nucleotide transfer RNA is filed under the name Candidatus Peregrinibacteria bacterium. Its description in RNAcentral is "tRNA-His". It matches the Rfam family "tRNA". Rfam says of the family: Transfer RNA (tRNA) molecules are approximately 80 nucleotides in length. The record is from RNAcentral. Lineage: Bacteria; Candidatus Peregrinibacteriota.
GUGGAUAUAGCUCAGUUGGUUAGAGCAUCAGGUUGUGGUCCUGAGGGCCGUGGGUUCGAGUCCCAUUAUCCACCCCA